GAGGAAUAUUGGUCAAUGGGCGAGAGCCUGAACCAGCCAAGUCGCGUGAAGGAAGAAGGUUCUAUGGAUUGUAAACUUCUUUUGCAUGGGAAUAAAGUGAGCUACGAGUAGUUUAUUGUAUGUACUGUGCGAAUAAGGAUCGGCUAACUCCGUGCCAGCAGCCGCGGUAAUACGGAGGAUCCGAGCGUUAUCCGGAUUUAUUGGGUUUAAAGGGUGCGUAGGCGGGAGAUUAAGUCAGCGGUGAAAGUUUGCAGCUUAACUGUAAAAUUGCCGUUGAAACUGAUUUUCUUGAGUGUAAAUAAGGUAGGCGAAAUGUGUUGUGUAGCGGUGAAAUGCAUAGAUAUAACACAGAACCCCGAUUGCGAAGGCAGCUUACCGGGCUACAACUGACGCUGAGGCACGAAAGCGUGGGGAUCAAAC
Molecule: ribosomal RNA, 420 nt
Filed under: uncultured bacterium
Lineage: Bacteria
Description: bacterial SSU rRNA
Rfam family: Bacterial small subunit ribosomal RNA
Source: RNAcentral